RNAcentral lists this ribosomal RNA (247 nucleotides) under uncultured Roseomonas sp. RNAcentral's name for it is "partial 16S ribosomal RNA". It matches the Rfam family "Bacterial small subunit ribosomal RNA", at positions 524 to 776 of the family's 1533-position model. Lineage: Bacteria; Pseudomonadati; Pseudomonadota; Alphaproteobacteria; Acetobacterales; Roseomonadaceae. The record is from RNAcentral.
UACGAAGGGGGCUAGCGUUGCUCGGAAUUACUGGGCGUAAAGGGCGCGUAGGCCCAAGUCAGGCGUGAAAUUCCUGGGCUCAACCUGGGGACUGCGCUUGAUACUGGGUUGCUUGAGGAUGGAAGAGGCUCGUGGAAUUCCCAGUGUAGAGGUGAAAUUCGUAGAUAUUGGGAAGAACACCGGUGGCGAAGGCGGCGAGCUGGUCCAUUACUGACGCUGAGGCGCGACAGCGUGGGGAGCAAACAGG